UACGUAGGGUGCGAGCGUUGUCCGGAAUUACUGGGCGUAAAGAGCUCGUAGGUGGUUUGUCGCGUUGUUCGUGAAAACUCACAACUCAAUUGUGGGCGUGCGGGCGAUACGGGCAGACUGGAGUACUGCAGGGGAGACUGGAAUUCCUGGUGUAGCGGUGGAAUGCGCAGAUAUCGGGAGGAACACCAGUGGCGAAGGCGGCUCUCUGGGGUAUUGCUGACGCUGAGGCACGAAAGCCAGGGGAGCGAACGGG
RNAcentral lists this ribosomal RNA (253 nucleotides) under uncultured bacterium. Its description in RNAcentral is "partial 16S ribosomal RNA". It matches the Rfam family "Bacterial small subunit ribosomal RNA", at positions 524 to 776 of the family's 1533-position model. The record is from RNAcentral.